RNAcentral lists this ribosomal RNA (253 nucleotides) under uncultured Coprococcus sp. RNAcentral's name for it is "partial 16S ribosomal RNA". It matches the Rfam family "Bacterial small subunit ribosomal RNA", at positions 524 to 776 of the family's 1533-position model. Lineage: Bacteria; Bacillati; Bacillota; Clostridia; Lachnospirales; Lachnospiraceae. The record is from RNAcentral.
UACGUAGGGGGCAAGCGUUAUCCGGAUUUACUGGGUGUAAAGGGAGCGUAGGCGGCAGUGCAAGUCAGAAGUGAAAGCCCGGGGCUCAACCCCGGGACUGCAUUGGAAACUAUGUAACUAGAGUACCGGAGAGGUAAGCGGAAUUCCUAGUGUAGCGGUGAAAUGCGUAGAUAUUAGGAGGAACACCAGUGGCGAAGGCGGCUUACUGGACUGUAAAUGACGCUGAGGCUCGAAAGCGUGGGGAGCAAACAGG